This 84-nucleotide transfer RNA is filed under the name Aliarcobacter skirrowii. RNAcentral describes it as "tRNA-Leu". It matches the Rfam family "tRNA". From Rfam's summary of the family: Transfer RNA (tRNA) molecules are approximately 80 nucleotides in length. Their secondary structure includes four short double-helical elements and three loops (D, anti-codon, and T loops). Lineage: Bacteria; Pseudomonadati; Campylobacterota; Epsilonproteobacteria; Campylobacterales; Arcobacteraceae. The record is from RNAcentral. RNAcentral also lists the same sequence under 2 other names.
GCCAGUGUGAUGGAAUGGUAGACUUGGAAGAUUCAAAAUCUUUUGCCGUAAGGCGUGUCGGUUCGAGUCCGACCACUGGUACCA